AGUAGAGUCAGCUAAUUAAGCUUUUGGGCCCAUGCCCCAAACAUGUUGGUUAAAUUCCCUCCUGUACUA
RNAcentral lists this transfer RNA (69 nucleotides) under Culaea inconstans (brook stickleback). RNAcentral describes it as "tRNA-Met". The record is from RNAcentral. Lineage: Eukaryota; Metazoa; Chordata; Actinopteri; Perciformes; Gasterosteidae.